Molecule: ribosomal RNA, 425 nt
Filed under: uncultured bacterium
Lineage: Bacteria
Description: partial 16S ribosomal RNA
Rfam family: Bacterial small subunit ribosomal RNA
Source: RNAcentral
GUGGGGAAUCUUGCGCAAUGGGCGAAAGCCUGACGCAGCCAUGCCGCGUGAAUGAUGAAGGUCUUAGGAUUGUAAAAUUCUUUCACCGGGGACGAUAAUGACGGUACCCGGAGAAGAAGCUCCGGCUAACUUCGUGCCAGCAGCCGCGGUAAUACGAAGGGGGCUAGCGUUGCUCGGAAUUACUGGGCGUAAAGGGCGCGUAGGCGGACAGCUUAGUCAGAGGUGAAAGCCCAGGGCUCAACCUUGGAAUUGCCUUUGAUACUGGCUGGCUUGAGUUUGAGAGAGGUGAGUGGAACUCCGAGUGUAGAGGUGAAAUUCGUAGAUAUUCGGAAGAACACCAGUGGCGAAGGCGACUCACUGGCCCAAUACUGACGCUGAGGCGCGAAAGCGUGGGGAGCAAACAGGAUUAGAUACCCCGGUAGUCC